GAAGAGGUGGCAGGGAGGGAGGAGGCAGGUACUGGCACUGUCUCCUUGGCAAGAGAAGUGUAUUUCGAGUUGUUGUCUUAGCAGAGGAGUUCUGUGCAGCAGCGACGAUGUCUGGCGGAGACUCAGCAGUGGUGGAGAGUGAGUGUGGGGUUCUGGAGAACUUGGGCUCGAUGAGGUAAGCAUUAUGAGGAGGAAGAAGAGGAGGAUGCCCUACCUGACUCGGAUGUCAUGCCAGAUUCAGAUGACGAGGUGGAUUUGGAUAAGCCACGCCCCAUACAGAUUGUUCUCGCUCAUGAAGAUGACCAUAACUUUGAGUUAGAUGAAGAAGCAUUGGAAAAAAUCUUGCUUCAGGAACACAUCAAAGAUCUUAACAUAGUAGUUGUGUCUGUAGCAGGAGCUUUCCGCAAAGGAAAAUCUUUUCUGCUGGACUUCAUGCUUAGAUACAUGUAUAACAGGACUUCUCCUUGCUGGAUAGGUGGAAACACUGAGCCUUUGACUGGGUUUACAUGGAGAGGUGGAUGUGAACGGGAAACCACUGGCAUCCAGAUCUGGAGUGAAGUGUUUGUAAUUGAUAAACCCAAUGGAACAAAGGUAAGUGCUUGAUUUAAAGAUGUAUUUAGUGAUUUUUGCCUCUGGGUGAAGAGUUUUAAUGCCAUGGGUUUUGUGGAGGCAAUUCAACAUCAGCUGGUUCCUUUCUAUUUACUGGCUGUGUAAUGCAUUUGGAAACCUUAUAUCAGUGCAGGUGUGUGGUUUCCUGCUGGUAUUCAAUCUUCAACAAUAGUCCCAUUUUAAAAUUACUUUGGCGAAGCCUGUUUUGUCCUGGCCAAUAGGUGGGUUAUCCUGUGAAUGUUUUAAAACUACGUUGGUUAUAAAUACUGUGCAUAGACAAGUGCUGUGAUAAGAACAGCUCUAACAAAUACUGCUUUUUGAGUUGAGAUGUGCUCUGGCUUGUAACUGUUCUGGCGACGUGUAGCACAUAGCUGUAAGCACUAGAAAUGCAGCUUCAGUGACUAGAAGCUGGUUGUUCUGCAUAGUUCAUCAGCUGGCUCAUAAAAACAGAAAGCACAUCUACUUCUGGGCAAAUGCUUUAUAUACUAACUAUACUUAUCAAAACUGGUGCACCUUUGAACUCUAAAUUGCUGUAACUACAGCGUUUGAUUUCAGAUGUUUAUUUUCAUACUGAAACAGUCUCAGUGUUGUCAGUACUUACUCCCUAACAUCAGCACUGUAUUCUUAACUGUUCUCCUGAACUGUAAACUUUUACUUAACUUCCAUAGUCCUUAUAUCGCUAAAGUGCAAUGGGAGCAUUUGAUGAUUAAUUAGUAUGGGAAGCUGAUCUUAAACAGCUAGUAAUUUAGAGGGCUGCAGUGGGUUUUACCAUGUUUUCGAGCUAACCAUGCAGUUCUCUGGCUAGAAAAGCAGUUGAGUUAUGAGGAUCUGUUGGUGCUCUGAAAAAAAAAAAAACUUAUUUAUUAUUGCUUAUUUGUUGUCUGCAACUGA
This is a non-coding RNA of Meleagris gallopavo (turkey), 1500 nucleotides long. The record is from RefSeq and is a predicted model, not a curated record. NCBI's taxonomy places the organism in Eukaryota, Metazoa, Chordata, Aves, Galliformes, Phasianidae.